GUACACGCUGUGACUAGCAUAUCAAUAAGCGGAGGAAAAGAAACUAACAAGGAUUCCCCUAGUAACGGCGAGUGAAGCGGGAAGAGCUCAAAUUUGAAAUCUUAAAGGGUUUCCCUUUACGAAUUGUAGUUUAAAGAAGUGUUUUCUGUUGAGGUCUUGGUAAAAGUUCUUUGGAAUAGGACAUCAUAGAGGGUGAGAAUCCCGUAUUUGACCUUUACUUUCAACUUUGUGAUACACUUUCAAAGAGUCGGAUUGUUUGGGAAUGCAGUCCAAAAUGGGUGGUAAAUUUCAUCUAAAGCUAAAUAUUGGCGAGAGACCGAUAGCGAACAAGUACCGUGAGGGAAAGAUGAAAAGAACUUUGAAAAGAGAGUUAAACAGUACGUGAAAUUGUCAAAAGGGAAGCGUUUGACACCAGUGUUGUUUUUCUGAAAAUCAAUUAAAGAACUGUUUAUGCUAAGCUGUUUAGACUUUAUCAGCUAAUCUGUUUAGUUUUGAGCUUUUCUUUAAUGCACUUUUCAGUUAACAAGUCAGCAUCAAUUUCUUUUGCUGUAAAAAAGCUUGAGGAAGGUGGCUUGAGAUUCGUCUUAAGUGUUUAUAGCCUCUUGCCUAUGCAGUCGGAGAGAUUGAGGUCUGCUAGCGUAGAUCCUUCGGGCUAAAUGCAUUUGUGCUAAGUUAUAGCAUUUUAUAGACAACUUGUUGACUAUGAUUUGUCUUGUAGCUUACUCGCUUAUGUUAUUUUACCUACGCUUAGGAUGUUGACGAGACUGUCGAUCUCAUCUAUACAUGACUCUGUGCAUAUCAAUAAGCGGAGGAAAAGAGGGCUACUACCUACGCUUAGGAUGUUGAGUCGUAGAGCACGCAG
This 862-nucleotide ribosomal RNA is filed under the name uncultured Neocallimastigales. Its description in RNAcentral is "partial large subunit ribosomal RNA". It matches the Rfam family "Eukaryotic large subunit ribosomal RNA", at positions 22 to 628 of the family's 3401-position model. Lineage: Eukaryota; Fungi; Neocallimastigomycota; Neocallimastigomycetes; Neocallimastigales. The record is from RNAcentral.